Molecule: ribosomal RNA, 460 nt
Filed under: uncultured bacterium
Lineage: Bacteria
Description: partial 16S ribosomal RNA
Rfam family: Bacterial small subunit ribosomal RNA
Source: RNAcentral
CCUACGGGAGGCAGCAGUGAGGAAUAUUGGACAAUGGGCGUAAGCCUGAACCAGCCAAGUCGCGUGAGGGAUGAAGGUUCUAUGGAUCGUAAACCUCUUUUAUAAGGGAAUAAAGUGCGGGACGUGUCCCGUUUUGUAUGUACCUUAUGAAUAAGGAUCGGCUAACUCCGUGCCAGCAGCCGCGGUAAUACGGAGGAUCCGAGCGUUAUCCGGAUUUAUUGGGUUUAAAGGGUGCGUAGGCGGCCUUUUAAGUCAGCGGUGAAAGUCUGUGGCUCAACCAUAGAAUUGCCGUUGAAACUGGGAGGCUUGAGUAUGUUUGAGGCAGGCGGAAUGCGUGGUGUAGCGGUGAAAUGCUUAGAUAUCACGCAGAACCCCGAUUGCGAAGGCAGCCUACCAAGCCAUGACUGACGCUGAUGCACGAAAGCGUGGGGAUCAAACAGGAUUAGAUACCCUUGUAGUC